This 428-nucleotide ribosomal RNA is filed under the name uncultured bacterium. RNAcentral describes it as "bacterial SSU rRNA". It matches the Rfam family "Bacterial small subunit ribosomal RNA", at positions 355 to 774 of the family's 1533-position model. The record is from RNAcentral.
UGGGGAAUAUUGCGCAAUGGGCGAAAGCCUGACGCAGCGACGCCGCGUGGGUGAUGAAGGCCUUCGGGUCGUAAAGCCCUGUCGGGAGGGACGAAACCUCGGUGACCUAAUACGUCACCGACCUGACGGUACCUCUUAAGGAAGCACCGGCUAACUCCGUGCCAGCAGCCGCGGUAAUACGGAGGGUACGAGCGUUGUUCGGAAUUACUGGGCGUAAAGCGUGCGCAGGCGGUUUUGUAAGACAGAGGUGAAAUCCCCGGGCUCAACCUGGGAACUGCCUUUGUGACUGCAAGGCUGGAGUGCGGCAGAGGGGGAUGGAAUUCCGCGUGUAGCAGUGAAAUGCGUAGAUAUGCGGAGGAACACCGAUGGCGAAGGCAAUCCCCUGGGCCUGCACUGACGCUCAUGCACGAAAGCGUGGGGAGCAAACA